Molecule: ribosomal RNA, 710 nt
Filed under: uncultured Acidimicrobiales bacterium
Lineage: Bacteria; Bacillati; Actinomycetota; Acidimicrobiia; Acidimicrobiales
Description: bacterial SSU rRNA
Rfam family: Bacterial small subunit ribosomal RNA
Source: RNAcentral
AAACUCGGGCUAAUACCGGAUAUCCCCACCAGGUCGCAUGGCCAGGUGAGGAAAUGCUCCGGCGCUUCGGGAGGGUCUCGCGACCUAUCAGCUAGUUGGUGAGGUAACGGCUCACCAAGGCAUCGACGGGUAGCUGGUCUGAGAGGACGAUCAGCCACACUGGGACUGAGACACGGCCCAGACUCCUACGGGAGGCAGCAGUGGGGAAUCUUGCGCAAUGGGCGAAAGCCUGACGCAGCCACGCCGCGUGAGGGAUGAAGGCUUUCGGGUUGUAAACCUCUUUCAGCAGGGACGAAAAUGACGGUACCUGCAGAAGAAGCUCCGGCCAACUACGUGCCAGCAGCCGCGGUAACACGUAGGGAGCAAGCGUUGUCCGGAUUUAUUGGGCGUAAAGAGCUCGUAGGCGGUUUAGUAAGUCGGGUGUGAAAACUUGAGGCUCAACCUCAAGAGGCCACUCGAUACUGCUGUGACUGGAGUCCGGUAGAGGAGUGUGGAAUUCCUGGUGUAGCGGUGAAAUGCGCAGAUAUCAGGAGGAACACCGACAGCGAAGGCAGCACUCUGGGCCGGUACUGACGCUGAGGAGCGAAAGCAUGGGGAGCGAACAGGAUUAGAUACCCUGGUAGUCCAUGCCGUAAACGUUGGGCACUAGGUGUGGGGUCUAGCUAACAGAUUCCGUGCCGCAGCUAACGCAUUAAGUGCCCCGCCUGGGG